This 484-nucleotide ribosomal RNA is filed under the name Thaumastocoris petilis. Its description in RNAcentral is "partial 16S ribosomal RNA". It matches the Rfam family "Bacterial large subunit ribosomal RNA", at positions 1829 to 2600 of the family's 2925-position model. Lineage: Eukaryota; Metazoa; Arthropoda; Insecta; Hemiptera; Thaumastocoridae. The record is from RNAcentral.
GGUUUUUAGAUUAAAAUUUAAGAUUUAACCUGCUCUAUGAUUAAUUAAAUGGCCGCAGUAUCCUAACUGUGCAAAGGUAGCGUAAUCAUUUGUUUCUUAAUUAGGAUCUUGUAUGAAAGGUUGGACGAGAAAUAGUCUUUAUUUAUAUAAAAAUUAAAAUUUAAUAUUUACUUUAAAAAGAGUAAAUAUUUUUAAUAGACGAGAAGACCCUAUAGAACUUUAUUAUUUAGUUAUUAGUAAAUAGUUCAAUAAUUAUGUUGGGGUGACAUUAGGAUUUUUAUAACUCCUAUAAUGUAAAUACAUUAAUUUAUGUUUUAUUGAUCCUUUAUAAGGAAAGGAAGUCUAAGUUACCUUAGGGAUAACAGCGUAAUUACUUUGGAGAGUUCAUAUUAAUAAAGUAGUUUGCGACCUCGAUGUUGGAUUAAGAUUAGAUUAAGGUGCAGAAGCUUUAAAUCUAGGUCUGUUCGACCUUUAAAUUCUUACA